UACGACUACAUAUCAGGCAUAUCAAUAAGCGGAGGAAAAGAAACUAACUAGGAUUCCCUCAGUAACGGCGAGUGAAGCGGGAAGAGCUCAAAUUUGAAAUCUUCAAGGUUUUACCUUGACGAAUUGUAGUUUAAAGAAGUGUUUUCUGUUGGAAUUUUGGUAAAAGUUCUUUGGAAAAAGACAUCAAAGAGGGUGAGAAUCCCGUAUUUGACCAUUAUUUCCAGCUUUGUGAUACACUUUCAAAGAGUCGGAUUGUUUGGGAAUGCAGUCCAAAAUGGGUGGUAAAUUUCAUCUAAAGCUAAAUACUGGCGAGAGACCGAUAGCGAACAAGUACCGUGAGGGAAAGAUGAAAAGAACUUUGAAAAGAGAGUUAAACAGUACGUGAAAUUGUCAAAAGGGAAGCGUUUGACACCAGUGUUGUUUUCUCGAAAAUCAAUUAAAAAAGAUUGGAUUUUGUGUUGUAUUGACUUUAUCAGCUUUCUGCACUCUUUUCAUGUCUUUUUUAAUGCACUUUUCGUUUAACAAGUCAACAUCAAUUUCUUUUGUUGUAAAAGGGUCAUUGGAAGGUGGCUUUCACUUUCGGAUGAAAGUGUUUAUAGCCUUUGACUUCUGCAAUCGGAGAGAUUGAGGUCUGCAGCGUAGAUCCUUCGGGGUUAGAUACAUUUGUGCUAAGUUAUAGCUUUUCAUAGACAACAUGUUGACUAUGAUUAAGUCAUGUAGCUUACUCGCUUAUGCUAUUUUACCUACGCUUAGGAUGUUGAAUCUGUGCGAGACUAC
RNAcentral lists this ribosomal RNA (777 nucleotides) under uncultured Neocallimastigales. RNAcentral's name for it is "partial large subunit ribosomal RNA". It matches the Rfam family "Eukaryotic large subunit ribosomal RNA", at positions 24 to 644 of the family's 3401-position model. The record is from RNAcentral. Lineage: Eukaryota; Fungi; Neocallimastigomycota; Neocallimastigomycetes; Neocallimastigales.